This 2786-nucleotide long non-coding RNA is filed under the name Homo sapiens (human). RNAcentral describes it as "HSALNT0330061". Lineage: Eukaryota; Metazoa; Chordata; Mammalia; Primates; Hominidae. The record is from RNAcentral.
CAGACCUUCAGUUACUUCAGUUGCAGACCUAGGACACCAAGGGGCCAAAUCCAAUUCUUAUACCAGAUUCCCUUUUACCACCAGGCUACCUGUCAUGGCAAUGGUUUGGCAAGAUAUCUGUCUAUAUUAAAUGAAUGCUCUUUGGGGAAGUGUAUUUGAUUGCUAAAGUGGGAUGGUUGGGAGAAUUAUACCAACAUAGAAAGGAAAAUUUGUUUCUCUUAAAUGACAGACCUUGAGAGCUUCCCUAAACCCCAGUGUUAAAUGACACCUCAUUGGCUAUGGUAAUGGUGUCCACAAGCAACAUUCCCUACCAGGAGGCUGAUGCAGAUCCAGUGGCGAAACAUCUUGGAAGGUUAGACAAGAUAUCAAGGCAUGAAACUCCCAAGUAUUGCGUCAUUGACAACUGAAAUUGCCUAAGUGUGAGAUCAUACUUCUGCCCGAAAACUUGCAAGAAUAUCUUUGGCAUGGAUGUCAGUGGGAUGACCAGAUAAAAUGGAGCCAAUGAGAUCAGAAGAAAAUGAUCAAAAUUUGGCAAAAUGGGAAGCAAGACGCAAUUUGCAAACAGGGAAAUCAAACAGUGCCACAUCAAAAUAAGAGGGAAGGAAAUCCAGCAGCUAAGCAGGCCACACAGUUCCCAGAUAGAGGUAAACUUCUUUUCUGGCCGAAGCCCUGGUUACGGGAAACAGUGUCUUCUGAAACGACCAGGUGUGGGGAAAGCGUCAGCAUGACUAGACAUACCUGGCUCACCUGUUGAACAAGCCCCAGUGAACCAGAUUCAGGAAUAUCAGCAGGGAGAGGAGCUUCUGGGGAAAAUCCCAACAUGCAGGGCAUAAGCUGCUUUCUGUCUCCUACAGUUUUGUGCAAAGUACAAUGCGUGAAUAACAGAGAGUAGGAAGGACAAUGAAAACAGCACGAGAGAUGAAGCGACUGAAUGUCAUCGGAAUUGUGCCCAUUUCUCCAAGCUUUUGGGCUGAUGUGGUACUGUUUCUUAAUGCAUCAUUUAUUUGUCUAAUAUAUCAUUCAAAUAUUUAUCGAGGGCCAACUAUGUUCAAGGCUGCGGGGAUAUGACAAGCAAGGAUGUUGUUUUCAUGAAACUUACAUUCUAGGAUAGACAGAUAGACAAUGAUGAGAUAGACAAUGGCAGACAGACAAUGAUGAGAUAAACAUAUAUAUGAGUUGUUAAGUAGUGGUAAGACCUAUGAAGACAAAAGAAACUAGUUAAGAGGCAAAAAGUGCUACAGGGAUACAAGUUUUCAUAAGAAAGUCAGAUAAGUCCCCUCUGAACAAGCAACGUUUGGAUAGAGGCCUAAAAGAAGGGAGUGAGUGAGCCAGACAGCUAGGAGAAGACAUCCCAGAGAGAGGGAACUAUCAGUGUGAAAUCCCUAAGACUGGUAUGUGCUUGUGUCCCAGGAACAUUAAGGAGGCUGGAGUGGCUGCAAAGAGGCAGGAGGGGAGCAGUAGGAGACAAAGACAGAGAGGCUACAGUGGCAAUCAAAGCAUGUCAGACAGCGCUUAAACACUCAGGACAUUAUCAUUAUAAGAAUUUCUACCUUAUUCUCUGAAUAAGAUGAGAAGCCACUGGGGACUUUUAAGAAAAGAAAUCACUGGCUUCUGUGCAGAAAAGAAACAAGAGUGAAAACAGGAGGAAAAAAAAAAGUCACUAGGAGGCUAGUGCAAUAAUCCAAGUGAGAAAUGGACCAGAAUGGUAGCAGUGGAGAUGGUGAGGAGUGUUGGACAUUGGGUACACAACAAAGGCAGUAGUGAAGAAUGAUGUCAAGAUGUGUCGGCUUAUAUGACUGCAAGAAUGGAGUUAUUUACUGAGAUGGGGACAGGCAGGUUAGAAGAUAUUUCAUUUGUAUUAUGUUUUAGGUGUCCACUAGAUAUAAACUAGGUGUUACAUAUCAUCACCCCGACAUGCUGUGACUCCUUACUCUGUGCAAAUUUCUGUGCAAAAGCUUUCUGACUUCAUAGGAUGUCUGAAUUUGAUUAAUAUUCAUCUUUCACACUGGAGUGCAGUUGCAUGAGAGCAGUGGCUAUUUCGAUCUCUCUCUGUGUAUUCCUAGCACCAAGCACAGUGCCUGACGAAGUACACACUCAGUGACUAGUGAAUGGAUGACUGAAUGAAAGAGUGAAGAAGUGAGACUUCCCAACAACUCCAUACAGAACUGGACCAACUGCUUCCACAGCUCAUCUUGGUCAAGUCUGAUUCCCAUAGGUGGCAUGACCGAUGGAGAUGCCCCUGGCAUCAAUGCCUCCUCUUUCCCUUUGGUCCAGGUCACACCUUCAAUUCAAGGUUCCUAAAUGCUGAUAUUAUUUUACUGUUACAAAAUUUAGGAGAAUAUGAAAAAAAUACAUUUUCUUCAUAAUAUUAUAGAUUAAUUUCCUCAAUUUUAUGCCACUAUGGUGGCCUGAUCUUAAAUUUUCCAUACAGGUCUACUUGAAAAUUUACUCUAGGGUUCUUUUGUGAUCUCACUCAACCUGCCAGACCAUCCUAGCUCUACAGUUUGCACCCCCAACAUCAUACUCUGAAACCCUCUCAUCCUUGCGCUAGCUUUAUUUGUAGUCAGAGUAGUUUGUGGUCUAUAUUUCAGCGCAAGGAAAACUCUACUAUCCAUUUUCUAAGGCACAAGUUGAUCUUAUGCUUAAGAGUCCAGCACAAAGACGAAUUUCUCUGCAUUGACUUUCCCUUUUCAUGAGCUCUUCAAUAAAAUGGGUUAACAAAUGAAGCCGUUACUUUCAAUUAAUAUUUAUUCAAAACAGAAUGAUCUCUAUGUGACUAGCUGCAC